Molecule: non-coding RNA, 48 nt
Organism: Schistosoma margrebowiei
Lineage: Eukaryota; Metazoa; Platyhelminthes; Trematoda; Strigeidida; Schistosomatidae
Source: Rfam
AUCCAACUGACGAGUCCCAAAUAAGUCGAAACGCGCAUCAAACUGGAU